GAAGAACAGACUUCACAGCUGGGACAAGAUCUGUUUGGCAUUUGUCUUCUGCAGCCUUGAAGAGUCUUUGUUGACCACUCUGGGCCUCAGCCACAUCAUUUGCUAGAAAAUCAUUAUGGCUGCCAUGCUCAUUGGGACUGCUGCUCAACUGUGACAAUUACAGCUGGUUUAUGAAGUCCUUGUGUCUGCUGAGCUGAUGAAGCUAAAAAUGAGCCAUAAUUUCUAUACUAACCCAAAAUGACUAGCCACCAUGAAGGUGUGUUCUCCUUUGCUGAGACACAGUGGUCAGCCUGAUGGGAAACAAGUAGAUAAUGUGAAAUGGAGGCAAAAGGCAAGCAGGCCAUUAUCCCAGGAUCAGUACUUAAACAUGUUCAUGGUGCUAAGCUUGCCCCUAAUGUUUCUGAGGUUGUAGCAAGACUAUAAACAGAGGUCUUAAAUAUUUAAAAUAUAUAAAGCUAAUAUACAAAUGCAUAAUAUAUUCUGUCCUCUUAUUUUGACAAGUACACUCUCAUGGUGACAUGGAAGUCUUAAACUUUGUGGAGUUAAUUAAUACUAUAACGCGAAUGGCAGAUUUAAGGGAGUGACUUUUAGUGGGAAGCAGUGAGGCUGUAUUACAAAGUCUUGGCAAAAGAUGCAGAGAGAAGAUAUGGAUAUGCAGGGACAAAUGGAAUACUAUUCUGUAACUUUGUAAACUGCUGGAUUUGCUGUGCUACUUAAAAUAAACAUAUCAGACCUGGAAAGACCUCUGUAGAUCUUUUCUCAGAGGUCUCUUUUGGACCAUGGUUUAAAUUAAGCUUACAGGUGUGUUUUAUCUUAGUCUUUCUUGCCAUUUACCUCUCUUACAUUUUCCUCUGGGUAGGGGGCCCCAGGCAAAACAAUCAGCUCCCACUUCACCAAGCCCAUGUUGUUCCCCUUACUAUCCAGAUUUCUUUCCUACUUAUUACUUCUCUGUAUCAAAUCUUUCAACUUUUGCUCUGCCCAUCUUCUAUUCAGCUGAAAUACAAAGAGCAAAGCUUCCUCCUCCUUCCAGCUUUCCUCAUUUAUUUAUUUAUUUUGCUUUUAAAAAAGAUUUUUAUUGGAGUACAGUUGAUUUACAAUAUCGUGUUAGUUUCAGGUGUACAGCAAAAUG
This 1129-nucleotide long non-coding RNA is filed under the name Capra hircus (goat). Its description in RNAcentral is "lncRNA (ENSCHIG00010005834.1)". The record is from RNAcentral. Lineage: Eukaryota; Metazoa; Chordata; Mammalia; Artiodactyla; Bovidae.